Molecule: transfer RNA, 76 nt
Filed under: Treponema sp. JC4
Lineage: Bacteria; Pseudomonadati; Spirochaetota; Spirochaetia; Treponematales; Treponemataceae
Description: tRNA-Lys
Rfam family: tRNA
About the family: Transfer RNA (tRNA) molecules are approximately 80 nucleotides in length. Their secondary structure includes four short double-helical elements and three loops (D, anti-codon, and T loops). Further hydrogen bonds mediate the characteristic L-shaped molecular structure. tRNAs have two regions of fundamental functional importance: the anti-codon, which is responsible for specific mRNA codon recognition, and the 3' end, to which the tRNAs corresponding amino acid is attached (by aminoacyl-tRNA synthetases). tRNAs cope with the degeneracy of the genetic code in two manners: having more than one tRNA (with a specific anti-codon) for a particular amino acid; and 'wobble' base-pairing, i.e. permitting non-standard base-pairing at the 3rd anti-codon position.
Source: RNAcentral
GGGCGACUAGCUCAGCUGGUAGAGCAACAGACUCUUAAUCUGUGGGUCCGGGGUUCGAUCCCCCGGUCGCUCAUCA